UACGUAGGGGGCAAGCGUUGUUCGGAAUUAUUGGGCGUAAAGGGCGCGUAGGCGGUCUGCCAAGUCCGGGGUGAAAGCCCCCAGCUCAACUGGGGAAGUGCCUCGGAUACUGGCGGACUUGAGGGAGGCAGGGGUUGUGGGAACUUCCGGUGGAGCGGUGAAAUGCGUUGAUAUCGGAAGGAACGCCGGUGGCGAAAGCGGGUUGCUGGGCCGACACUGACGCUGAAGAGCGAAAGCGUGGGGAGCGAACAGG
This 253-nucleotide ribosomal RNA is filed under the name uncultured bacterium. Its description in RNAcentral is "partial 16S ribosomal RNA". It matches the Rfam family "Bacterial small subunit ribosomal RNA", at positions 524 to 776 of the family's 1533-position model. The record is from RNAcentral.